GUUUGAUCAUGGCUCAGGAUGAACGCUGGCGGCGUGCUUAACACAUGCAAGUCGAGCGAAGCACUUAGGAAAGAUUCUUCGGAUGAUUUCCUAUUUGACUGAGCGGCGGACGGGUGAGUAACGCGUGGGUAACCUGCCUCAUACAGGGGGAUAACAGUUAGAAAUGACUGCUAAUACCGCAUAAGACCACAGCACCGCAUGGUGCAGGGGUAAAAACUCCGGUGGUAUGAGAUGGACCCGCGUCUGAUUAGUUAGUUGGUGGGGUAACGGCCUACCAAGGCGACGAUCAGUAGCCGACCUGAGAGGGUGACCGGCCACAUUGGGACUGAGACACGGCCCAAACUCCUACGGGAGGCAGCAGUGGGGAAUAUUGCACAAUGGGGGAAACCCUGAUGCAGCGACGCCGCGUGAGCGAAGAAGUAUUUCGGUAUGUAAAGCUCUAUCAGCAGGGAAGAAAAUGACGGUACCUGACUAAGAAGCCCCGGCUAACUACGUGCCAGCAGCCGCGGUAAUACGUAGGGGGCAAGCGUUAUCCGGAUUUACUGGGUGUAAAGGGAGCGUAGACGGAGCAGCAAGUCUGAUGUGAAAACCCGGGGCUCAACCCCGGGACUGCAUUGGAAACUGU
RNAcentral lists this ribosomal RNA (625 nucleotides) under uncultured bacterium. RNAcentral describes it as "bacterial SSU rRNA". It matches the Rfam family "Bacterial small subunit ribosomal RNA", at positions 11 to 636 of the family's 1533-position model. The record is from RNAcentral.